This is a long non-coding RNA of Armigeres subalbatus, 921 nucleotides long. RefSeq lists it as uncharacterized. The transcript has 2 exons. Lineage: Eukaryota; Metazoa; Arthropoda; Insecta; Diptera; Culicidae. The record is from RefSeq and is a predicted model, not a curated record.
UAUGUCGAAAUGUCAAAAUAAUGAAAAAUAAAAGUCUUGAUCGUCUUGAUGUUUUGAUCUGAUAUUUAGCUAAUGACUUUAUUUAUAAUAAUAAUUGUAAUUUGAAAUGUUUCGUGUUAUUAUUAUCACUCCAGUGUGAUGGUUGUAUUGCCUAAGUGCCACGACCGCUGACAAAAUUGUGUAAAACAGAUUUUUUGGUGACGAGAUUUUGCAUCGAGAAAAACAGACGGAGAAUGGAAGCACUCAGAAGUGCAGUGGUUUUGUGCUACUGGCCAGAAGUCACGGGAUCUUAUGGACUUGAAGGAUAUUCGGUACGUUUUGUGGGAUCACACGAAAACUUGAGCAAAACAAAACGAAUGAACUUUUGUUGGCUACUCCAGGAGCAGGAGAAAGACUAGCACUUGGAGCUACUCAGCAGAGCAAAACCCCGGGCUGCACGGAAUAGCUAGAAGAAUCACAACAAAACAACGAAACCUAAAGUACCUACUGCCUGCUGGUUUCAGUAAUGCAAACGGAUGGACAAUUAUUUCGACACGGAUGCGCGUGAAGUUCUGACGUUAGGCUAAAUCCUCGGUUAAAUCAUGAAGCCGGCACAAUCACAGGUGCCAGUAAGCACUGCAGCAAGCAACAUUUCGGGUUCCUUGAAGAUAGUUUCAAUGCAAAUAGAAAUACGGUGGUUCGAAAGCAAGCAAACUGAGUGAUGACGAAAACGUUCUGAUUAAUGAAGACGGACAUCUCAUGGAUGCGCACUAAUUAUAAUCACAUAUGUAUAUGUUAAAAUCAUUAACCAGAUCAGGCGGAGUAUAAUAAAAAGGCGAGAAUCACCAUCGACGACUAGGUGACGUAUAACUUGCAUUAUUUGUCGUUAUGAACAGAUUAUAGUAAAAUAAAUGUAAUGAAAUUCGUAAUUCGAAUAAUGUA